GGGCUUGUGGUGAAAACGGAAUCAUGUCCGCCUUGCAAGCGGGAGUUCGGGGUUCGAUCCCCCGCGGGUCCA
Molecule: transfer RNA, 72 nt
Filed under: Actinomycetota bacterium
Lineage: Bacteria; Bacillati; Actinomycetota
Description: Actinobacteria bacterium tRNA-Ala
Rfam family: tRNA
About the family: Transfer RNA (tRNA) molecules are approximately 80 nucleotides in length. Their secondary structure includes four short double-helical elements and three loops (D, anti-codon, and T loops).
Source: RNAcentral